UCAAGCUACAAAGGGCGCAUGGUGAAUGCCUUGGCAUCAGGAGCCGAUGAAGGACGUGAUAAGCUGCGAUAAGCUUCGGGUAGGCGCACAUAGCCAGAGAUCCGGAGAUCUCCGAAUGAGGAAACUCACAUGGGAAACCCCAUGUAUCAUAAAGUGAAUUCAUAGCUUUAUGAGGGAACACCUAGGGAACUGAAACAUCUAAGUACCUAGAGGAAGAGAAAGAAAAAUCGAUUUUCUGAGUAGCGGCGAGCGAAAGGGAAAGAGCCCAAACCGAAGAUUUAUCUUCGGGGUUGCGGACAGAACAUAACGUGAAAUUAUUGUUAACCGAACACAACUGGAAAGUUGGACCAUAGGAAGUAAUAGUCUUGUAAGUAAAAGCAAUAAUGAACAGUUCUGCUCCAGAGUACCACGAGACACGUGAAACCUUGUGGGAAGCAGGGAGGACCACCUCCCAAGGCUAAAUACUACCUGAUGACCGAUAGUGAAGCAGUACCGUGAGGGAAAGGUGAAAAGAACCCCGGGAGGGGAGUGAAAUAGAACCUGAAACCAUGUGCCUACAACCGAUCAAAGCACCUUAUGUGUGUGAUGAUGUGCUUUUUGUAGAACGAGCCAACGAGUUACGGUAUGUAGCGAGGUUAAGUACUUAAGGUACGGAGCCGAAGGGAAACCAAGUCUUAAUAGGGCGACUAGUUGCAUGCUGUAGACCCGAAACCGGGUGACCUAUCCAUGGCCAGGUUGAAGCGAGGGUAAAACCUCGUGGAGGACCGAACCACGUUGCUGUUGAAAAAGCAUGGGAUGAGCUGUGGAUAGCGGAGAAAUUCCAAUCGAACUCGGAUAUAGCUGGUUCUCCUCGAAAUAGCUUUAGGGCUAGCGUCGACAAAUGUGAGUAGUGGAGGUAGAGCACUGAAUGGGCUAGGGGGCAUAGCGCUUACCGAACCUUAUCAAACUCCGAAUGCCAUAUACUAUCAGGUCGGCAGUCAGACUAUGAAAGAUAAGUUCCAUGGUCAAAAGGGAAACAGCCCAGAUCGUCAGCUAAGGUCCCAAAGUGUAAGUUAAGUGGAAAAGGAUGUGGGAUUUCUAAGACAACUAGGAUGUUGGCUUAGAAGCAGCCAUUCAUUAAAAGAGUGCGUAAUAGCUCACUAGUCAAGAGAUCCUGCGCCGAAAAUGUCCGGGGCUCAAACUUACCACCGAAGCUACGGGUUCACACUUAGUGUGAGCGGUAGAGGAGCGUUGUAAUCGGGCUGAAGUCGUACCGUAAGGAGCGGUGGACUGAUUACAAGUGAGAAUGUUGGCAUUAGUAGCGAGAUGUAGGCGAGAAUCCUACAGGCCGAAUAUCUAAGGUUUCCUGGGUAAAGUUUGUCUUCCCAGGGUUAGUCGGGACCUAAGGCGAGGCCGAAAGGCGUAGUCGAUGGACAAUUGGUUGAUAUUCCAAUACCACUAUCAUCGUUAUUACCGAGGGUGUGACGGAGAAGGAUAGGAUGUGCUAGCUAUUGGAUGCUAGUCGAAGCGUUUAGGGAGUUAGAGUAGGCAAAUCCGCUCUAACAAUUCUGAGGCGUUAUAGGGAAGGUUCUACGGAACCGAAGUAUCUGAUUCCAUGCUUCCAAGAAAAGCAUCUAGGGAGAGAAGUAGUGCCCGUACCGCAAACCGACACAGGUAGAUGAGGAGAGAAUCCUAAGGCCGACGGAAGAAUUGCAGUUAAGGAACUAGGCAAAUUGACCCCGUAACUUCGGGAGAAGGGGUGCCUACGAAAGUAGGCCGCAGAGAAUAGGCACAAGCAACUGUUUAACAAAAACACAGGUCUCUGCUAAAGCGUAAGCUGAUGUAUAGGGGCUGACGCCUGCCCGGUGCUGGAAGGUUAAGGGGAACACUUAGCGCAAGCGAAGGUGUGAACUUAAGCCCCAGUAAACGGCGGCCGUAACUAUAACGGUCCUAAGGUAGCGAAAUUCCUUGUCAGGUAAGUUCUGACCCGCACGAAUGGCGUAAUGACUUGUGCACUGUCUCAACUGCAAAUCCGGCGAAGUUGUAGUGCGAGUGAAGAUGCUCGCUACCCGCGAUUGGACGGAAAGACCCCGUAGAGCUUUACUGUAGCUUAGCAUUGAAUUUCGGUAUUGUCUGUACAGGAUAGGUGGGAGACUGGGAAAUCAGGGCGUCAGCCUUGAUGGAGUCGUUGUUGGGAUACCACCCUGAUAGUAUUGAAAUUCUAACUGGAUGCCAUGAAACUGGUGACAGGACAUUGUUAGGUGGGCAGUUUGACUGGGGCGGUCGCCUCCUAAAAUGUAACGGAGGCGCCCAAAGGUU
Molecule: ribosomal RNA, 2298 nt
Filed under: human gut metagenome
Description: bacterial LSU rRNA
Rfam family: Bacterial large subunit ribosomal RNA
Source: RNAcentral